Molecule: long non-coding RNA, 2273 nt
Filed under: Triticum aestivum (bread wheat)
Lineage: Eukaryota; Viridiplantae; Streptophyta; Magnoliopsida; Poales; Poaceae
Description: long non-coding RNA (TAES_LNC001105)
Source: RNAcentral
CGUGCACGGCAAGGUGUUGCGGGGGAUCCGCGAGAGGAACUGGCGGUUUAGCAUGACAAGAUUAGGGAGGUGAUUGUUAGCACUAAUCUUGUCAUGAUGUACCAGCAUGCAUGUUUAGUUUUGAGUUUGCAUGUAGUUUAGAUGAUCUAGGGCAGUGUAUGUAGGCCAAUGAUACUUCAGCUACGCGCGUGAAGAAAGCGAGAUGUCGGGCUGCCGUGCGAUGCGGUGAGCACGGCAAGAUGCCGAUGAUGUCGUGCGAUACGGCGAGGCUGUGAGAAGCAGCGAGACGCGACGAAGCUGGAGGAUGAUGGGCUGCUCGUUCAGGUUGAGCCGAGUGAUUUGGCCAAGCCGUAGUUAGUUAGAGUGUGCUGGUUGGUUGUAGCUAGCUAGCUUCGUGCAUGAAGUAGUAGGCCACGUUGAGACGUGGAGCUAGUUUUAGAUAUGGCCGAGUCGUGUGGCCGUUGGAGUGAUUUCAGGAGUAGGAUAAGGCUGUUAGUGCAUGCAUAGAUUAGUGGGAUUAGUUGCCGAGAGAGGUGGCUGGCCAGUGCGUGUAUGGUCCUUGUAUAUAUAUGUUUCAGUGGAGUAAUGAAGAGAGGAGGCCGAGAGGGCUGAGCAGAGAAACCAUGUAGCCAUUGUGGUUCACCAAGGGAGUGUCUCUGGCAAAGCCGUUCCUCUUCCUUGGUAUAUGCGUGCGUGUGUGUGUGUGUGUUCAUGAGAGAGUUCUUGAGAGAAAACACAAGAGAAUUGUGUGAGAGGGAGAAGAGAGUUGUGAGAGGCAACUCGAGGUAGAAGAAGGAGCGGCGCUGCGAGGAGGCGGCGCCAACAAUUGGCAUCAGAGCCUUGUUGAUCCGUGGCGGCGACGACGGUGCCGGCGGCUAUGGUGGCCGGCGUGGCGCUGGGCGCGAGGUGAUGGCUGGCAGCGGCGCGAUGCCGCGGGCGGCCGGUUGCGGUGCGAUGCCGCGAGAUGAAGGUGGUGCGAUGAUCGGCGUCGCGAGGACGUCAUCCACGACAAGAUGGUCCGUGGUGACCGGCGCUGCGACGGCGUCGGUUGUGGCGCGACGGACUUCAUGCGAGAUGGAGGCCGACGGCGCAAGAAGGAGGAUGGUGGCCAUGCGGUGCCGCUAUGUGAAGAUGGCGGUGCGAAGCUGCCACAAGAAGAGUCGGCGUGAUGCCGACGACGGUGGUGUGAUGCCAUCGUCAUCAUGGAAAGUUGGUGUGAAGCCAACAAAAGUUGCGGUGCGAUGCCGCUUGGCGAAGACGGCGUGGUGAUCGGCGCUGCGACAGCAUGGUCCACGUCGAGAGGAGGCCGCCACGAGCGGCAAGUCGGCAUGGUGACGGACGCUGUGAUGGGGUCGUCCACAACAAGAUGGUGCAUGGUGGUUGGCGCUGCGACGGCGUCGUGCACGGCAAGGUGUUGCGGGCGAUCCGCGAGAGGAACUGGCGGUUUAGCAUGACAAGAUUAGGGAGGUGAUUGUUAGCACUAAUCUUGUCAUGAUGUACCAGCAUGCAUGUUUAGUUUUGAGUUUGCAUGUAGUUUAGAUGAUCUAGGGCAGUGUAUGUAGGCCAAUGAUACUUCAGCUACGGGCGUGAAGAAAGCGAGAUGUCGGGCUGCCGUGCGAUGCGGUGAGCACGGCAAGAUGCCGAUGAUGUCGUGCGAUACGGCGAGGCUGUGAGAAGCAGCGAGACGCGACGAAGCUGGAGGAUGAUGGGCUGCUCGUUCAGGUUGAGCCGAGUGAUUUGGCCAAGCCGUAGUUAGUUAGAGUGUGCUGGUUGGUUGUAGCUAGCUAGCUUCGUGCAUGAAGUAGUAGGCCACGUUGAGACAUGGAGCUAGUUUUAGAUAUGGCCGAGUCGUGUGGCCGUUGGAGUGAUUUCAGGAGUAGGAUAAGGCUGUUAGUGCAUGCAUAGAUUAGUGGGAUUAGUUGCCGAGAGAGGUGGCUGGCCAGUGCGUGUAUGGUCCUUGUAUAUAUAUGUUUCAGUGGAGUAAUGAAGAGAGGAGGCCGAGAGGGCUGAGCAGAGAAACCAUGUAGCCAUUGUGGUUCACCAAGGGAGUGUCUCUGGCAAAGCCGUUCCUCUUCCUUGGUAUAUGCGUGCGUGUGUGUGUGUGUGUUCAUGAGAGAGUUCUUGAGAGAAAACACAAGAGAAUUGUGUGAGAGGGAGAAGAGAGUUGUGAGAGGCAACUCGAGGUAGAAGAAGGAGCGGCGCUGCGAGGAGGCGGCGCCAACAAUUGGCAUCAGAGCCUUGUUGAUCCGUGGCGGCGACGACGGUGCCGGCGG